UACGUAGGUGGCGAGCGUUGUCCGGAUUUACUGGGCGUAAAGGGAGCGUAGGCGGACUUUUAAGUGAGAUGUGAAAUACUCGGGCUCAACCCGGGGGCUGCAUUUCAAACUGAAAGUCUAGAGUGCAGGAGAGGAGAGUGGAAUUCCUAGUGUAGCGGUGAAAUGCGUAGAGAUUAGGAAGAACACCAGUGGCGAAGGCGGCUCUCUGGACUGUAACUGACGCUGAGGCUCGAAAGCGUGGGGAGCAAACAGGAUUAGAUACCCCUGUA
Molecule: ribosomal RNA, 269 nt
Filed under: uncultured prokaryote
Description: partial 16S ribosomal RNA
Rfam family: Bacterial small subunit ribosomal RNA
Source: RNAcentral